Molecule: ribosomal RNA, 560 nt
Filed under: uncultured bacterium
Lineage: Bacteria
Description: partial 16S ribosomal RNA
Rfam family: Bacterial small subunit ribosomal RNA
Source: RNAcentral
UAGGGAAUCUUGCGCAAUGGGCGAAAGCCUGACGCAGCCAUGCCGCGUGAAUGAUGAAGGUCUUAGGAUUGUAAAAUUCUUUCACCGGGGAAGAUAAUGACGGUACCCGGAGAAGAAGCCCCGGCUAACUUCGUGCCAGCAGCCGCGGUAAUACGAAGGGGGCUAGCGUUGCUCGGAAUUACUGGGCGUAAAGGGCGCGUAGGCGGAUAUUUAAGUUGGGGGUGAAAGCCCGGGGCUCAACCUCGGAAUAGCCUUCAAUACUGGAUAUCUUGAGUUCGGGAGAGGUGAGUGGAAUGCCGAGUGUAGAGGUGAAAUUCGUAGAUAUUCGGCGGAACACCAGUGGCGAAGGCGACUCACUGGCCCGAUACUGACGCUGAGGCGCGAAAGCGUGGGGAGCAAACAGGAUUAGAUACCCUGGUAGUCCACGCCGUAAACGAUGAGUGCUAGUUGUCGGCAUGCAUGCAUGUCGGUGACGCAGCUAACGCAUUAAGCACUCCGCCUGGGGAGUACGGUCGCAAGAUUAAAACUCAAAUGAAUUGACGGGGUCAUAGCUGUUUCCU